RNAcentral lists this transfer RNA (73 nucleotides) under Pseudonocardiales bacterium. Its description in RNAcentral is "tRNA-Val". It matches the Rfam family "tRNA". Rfam says of the family: Transfer RNA (tRNA) molecules are approximately 80 nucleotides in length. Their secondary structure includes four short double-helical elements and three loops (D, anti-codon, and T loops). The record is from RNAcentral. Lineage: Bacteria; Bacillati; Actinomycetota; Actinomycetes; Pseudonocardiales.
GCGCUCGUCGUCCAGCGGCAAGGACCACCGCCCUACAAGCGGCUGAUCGCAGGUUCGAGUCCUGCCGAGCGCA